ACAACCACACCAAUAUGAUGAGAACUUUUCUUUGAACCGGUAUAUUAGGAAGAGCCGGAAGAGGUAUGGCAGGAACCAAAGUUGUUCUCUGUCGUCGAUGCUUAUAAUGGUUCUGCUGAAUGGUGUUUUUGG
Molecule: small nucleolar RNA, 132 nt
Filed under: Aspergillus carbonarius ITEM 5010
Lineage: Eukaryota; Fungi; Ascomycota; Eurotiomycetes; Eurotiales; Aspergillaceae
Description: A. fumigatus snoRNA Afu_198
Rfam family: A. fumigatus snoRNA Afu_198
Source: Rfam by way of RNAcentral